AGAAUUCCACUCUAUAUUAAUGUAACACUUUUUUUUUUCCUAGGUCAUGGAUUUGUGACUGUUGUCAUUGAGCUCCGCAACACCCAGGAAAGUGGGCAGAAGGGGGAAAAACAGCAAAGAGGGAUAAAAUGCUUUCUGGGGGCCCUAAUGCAUAUGCACUAAAGUGGAAUAUUUGGUGCUGAUUUAUUUAUUUAUUUAUUUAUU
This 204-nucleotide long non-coding RNA is filed under the name Marmota monax (woodchuck). The record is from RNAcentral. Lineage: Eukaryota; Metazoa; Chordata; Mammalia; Rodentia; Sciuridae.